Molecule: ribosomal RNA, 253 nt
Filed under: uncultured bacterium
Lineage: Bacteria
Description: partial 16S ribosomal RNA
Rfam family: Bacterial small subunit ribosomal RNA
Source: RNAcentral
UACGAAAGGGGCUAGCGUUGCUCGGAAUUACUGGGCGUAAAGGGCGCGUAGGCGGAUAGUUUAGUCAGAGGUGAAAGCCCAGGGCUCAACCUUGGAAUUGCCUUUGAUACUGGCUAUCUUGAGUUCGGGAGAGGUGAGUGGAAUGCCGAGUGUAGAGGUGAAAUUCGUAGAUAUUCGGCGGAACACCAGUGGCGAAGGCGACUCACUGGCCCGAUACUGACGCUGAGGCGCGAAAGCGUGGGGAGCAAACAGG